GUGGGGAAUAUUGGACAAUGGGCGAAAGCCUGAUCCAGCAAUGCCGCGUGAGUGAAGAAGGCCUUCGGGUUGUAAAACUCUUUUAUCAGGGAAGAUAAUGAAGGUACCUGAUGAAUAAGCUCCGGCUAACUUCGUGCCAGCAGCCGCGGUAAUACGAAGGGAGCUAGCGUUGUUCGGAAUAACUGGGCGUAAAGGGCGCGUAGGCGGAUUGGUAAGUUUGAUGUGAAAUACCUGGGCUUAACCUGGGAAUUGCAUCGGAUACUGCUGAUCUGGAGUGUUGAAAGGGAUGAUGGAAUUAUGCAUGGAGAGGUGGAAUUCAUAGAUAUGCAUAGGAACACCGGAGGCGAAGGCGAUCAUCUGGGCAACAACUGACGCUGAGGCGCGAAAGCGUGGGGAGCAAACAGGAUUAGAAACCCCGGUAGUCC
Molecule: ribosomal RNA, 425 nt
Filed under: uncultured bacterium
Lineage: Bacteria
Description: partial 16S ribosomal RNA
Rfam family: Bacterial small subunit ribosomal RNA
Source: RNAcentral